Molecule: ribosomal RNA, 497 nt
Filed under: uncultured bacterium
Lineage: Bacteria
Description: partial 16S ribosomal RNA
Rfam family: Bacterial small subunit ribosomal RNA
Source: RNAcentral
GAUGAACGCUGGCGGCGUGCCUAAUACAUGCAAGUCGAGCGAACAGACGAGGAGCUUGCUCCUCUGACGUUAGCGGCGGACGGGUGAGUAACACGUGGAUAACCUACCUAUAAGACUGGGAUAACUUCGGGAAACCGGAGCUAAUACCGGAUAAUAUACUGAACCGCAGGGUUCAAUAGUGAAAGACGGUUUUGCUGUCACUUAUAGAUGGAUCCGCGCCGCAUUAGCUAGUUGGUAAGGUAACGGCUUACCAAGGCGACGAUGCGUAGCCGAACUGAGAGGGUGAUCGGCCACACGGGAACUGAGACACGGUCCAGACUCCUACGGGAGGCAGCAGUAGGGAAUCGGCCGCAAUGGGCGAAAGCCUGACGGAGCAACGCCGCGUGAGUGAUGAAGGUCUUCGGAUCGUAAAACUCUGUUAUUAGGGAAGAACAAAUGUGUAAGUAACUAUGCACGUCUUGACGGUACCUAAUCAGAAAGCCACGGCUAACUACGUG